Molecule: long non-coding RNA, 547 nt
Filed under: Mytilus galloprovincialis (Mediterranean mussel)
Lineage: Eukaryota; Metazoa; Mollusca; Bivalvia; Mytilida; Mytilidae
Source: RNAcentral
CUGACAGGUUUUUUCUGAUAUCUAUUUGUGUUUUGGGUAUUUAUUUCAGUUGUUUUACUCAUUUGUGAACUCUGAACACAAAAAAAAGUAGAUAAAAACAUAAAAAGAGUGCAAAAUGUGCUGUUUUAAUAGUCUAAGUCUAACGGUCAGUAUACGCAGCAGGUGAAAUGUGAAGUUCUAUGCACUUAAAAGUUGUAUUCCUAAACAGAUUGCACUGAAUCUAUAUCAAAAACACUUAUUACUGGUUGUUUAACCAUUUCUGUUUCACAGACUACCUUUAUUUUCUUCUGUUGGAUAGCUAGUGGUUAAAAUAUUGGCCUUUUGAGGCUGAAAUUUCAUUCAGGUUUUAAACAGUAAAGUUAAUAAACUUUGCAUCAGACCAUACUGUCUACAUAUAUAGUUGAAAGUGACAGUCUUGUUACAUCCAGGCUCCAUGUUUUAUCAUAUCUAAGCACAGAUUUAAGCAAAAAGAAGCAUAUCUCCAUCUCCCAUAUCAUUUAUAUGCUUUUUAAUAUGCAAAUGUGGGGAACGGCCUAAAUUGACAACC